This 791-nucleotide ribosomal RNA is filed under the name uncultured soil bacterium. Its description in RNAcentral is "bacterial SSU rRNA". It matches the Rfam family "Bacterial small subunit ribosomal RNA", at positions 707 to 1501 of the family's 1533-position model. The record is from RNAcentral.
CACACGUGUGCAAGAGCGCACUCGGCAUACUACUCACGCUGACGCACGAGAUCGAGAGAUCACACAAGUAGAUAUCCUGUGGUACUCAUCGCCCUACGAGAACUGGACGUUGUAGCCGGUACGCUAUCGUGUCGUCCCGCAGCUAACGCGAUAAGUCCUGCACCUGGGGAGUACGGUCGCAAGACUGAAACUCAAAGGAAUUGACGGGGGCCCGCACAAGCGGUGGAACAUGUGGUUCAAUUCGACGCUACGCGAAGAACCUUACCUGGGCUCGAAGCGCAGUUGACUGGGGAUAGAAAUCCGCUUUCCUUCAAAGGACAAGUGGAGGUCGCGGAAUGGUGGUGUUCAGUUGUUUCCGUGGAUUGUUGGUUAAGUUCCGCAACGAGCCCCAACCCCUCCACGUAGUUGCCACUGGGCAAGGAGGGCACUCUAGGUGGACUGCUUCGGAUAACGGAGAGGAAGGUGGGGAUGACGUCAAGUCCUCAUGGCCUUUAUGUCCAGGGCUACACACGUGUUACAACGCAGGGCACAAACCGUUGCCAACCCGUGAGGGGGAGCUAAUCGGAAAAAACUGUCCUCAGUUCGGAUUGCAGUCUGCAACUCGACUCCAUGAAGCUGGAAUCGCUAGUAAUGGCGGAUCAGAUCGACGCGGUGAAUACGUUCCCGGGCCUUGUACACACCGCCCGUCACAUCACGAAAGUGGGCUGUACUAGAAGUCGGUGUGCUGACCGCAAGGAAGCAGCCGUCCAAGGUACAACUCAUGAUUGGGGUGAAGUCGUAACAAGGUAACC